CUUUCUUUGGGGACAUGAUAAAAUUGGAACAAUACAGAGAAGAUUAGCAUGGCUCUCAGGGGUGGACACAAUUCGGUUUAAUUUGGAUCUCAUUUCA
Molecule: small RNA, 97 nt
Filed under: Prunus dulcis (almond)
Lineage: Eukaryota; Viridiplantae; Streptophyta; Magnoliopsida; Rosales; Rosaceae
Description: sRNA ncRNA
Source: RNAcentral